UCUUUGUGAUGGAUCACUUGGGUGUCGUCGACGAUGAAGAACGUAGCAAGCAGCGUUAUUUAAUGUGAAAUGCACACUUCGUGAAUCAUCGAGUUUUCGAACAAAUACACGACUGCCUGGUUCAUGCCGGUGCAGUACUUGUUUGAGAGUGUC
This 153-nucleotide ribosomal RNA is filed under the name Vahlkampfia orchilla. RNAcentral describes it as "5.8S ribosomal RNA". It matches the Rfam family "5.8S ribosomal RNA". From Rfam's summary of the family: 5.8S ribosomal RNA (5.8S rRNA) is a component of the large subunit of the eukaryotic ribosome. It is transcribed by RNA polymerase I as part of the 45S precursor that also contains 18S and 28S rRNA. The record is from RNAcentral. Lineage: Eukaryota; Heterolobosea; Eutetramitea; Acrasida; Vahlkampfiidae. RNAcentral also lists the same sequence under 1 other name.